GGUCCGUGCGGUUGCUCCGCGGAGUGAACGGGGUUUCCCACACCGACCUGCAGGGUUCUUCCUCCACGCUCUGGAUUCACUCUCACAGGCCGCCAUGUUCACCUGAACUCCUCCAGAGGAAAACACCGUCCUAAAGGGAGCCACUGGAGAGGAGCUCUGGAACCACAGGUUGCUAAGAGACCCCUGAUCUGACCCUGCCAUCCUCUUACAGCGAGGAGGGCGCCGUUAGACUCUGCGUCCCCUGCCCUUGUUGGUCCCAGAAGCAAAGUUCUACUUGAGGGUCCACCAGCUGCAGCCCUCUAUCAUUGGCCAUCCAUGGGCAGUAAAGAUCCUCAGGACAGCUAAUUUUGCUCCCUAUGUUGUCUUCAUCGCAGCUCCCACUGUCACCCCCCGCAUGACCGAGGUAGCGGGAAACAACAUACAACACUGAUCCAGAUUUAAAUCCAAGAUGUAGUGAUUUGAUGGUAUGAACCUUUUAUGUAAUGAAUUCAUAUUUGGUGUUACUGUUUUUCCCUAGAAUUUUUUGUCUUUUUACCAGCC
Long non-coding RNA from Sebastes umbrosus (honeycomb rockfish), 540 nucleotides. RefSeq lists it as uncharacterized. The transcript is spliced from 5 exons. The record is from RefSeq and is a predicted model, not a curated record. Lineage: Eukaryota; Metazoa; Chordata; Actinopteri; Perciformes; Sebastidae.